RNAcentral lists this unclassified non-coding RNA (354 nucleotides) under soil metagenome. RNAcentral's name for it is "partial contains 5.8S ribosomal RNA, internal transcribed spacer 2, and large subunit ribosomal RNA". The stretch from base 1 to 120 matches the Rfam family "5.8S ribosomal RNA", at positions 35 to 154 of the family's 154-position model. The record is from RNAcentral.
GAUGAAGAACGUAGCGAAAUGCGAUAAGUAGUGUGAAUUGCAGAAUUCAGUGAAUCAUCGAAUCUUUGAACGCACAUUGCGCCUUCUAGUAUUCUGGGAGGCAUGCCUGUUUGAGCGUCAUUAAACCUCUCUCAAGUAUGAUUACUUGGAUGUGAAGGAAGAGUACCUUAAACUUAAGGAGUGUUCUCCUUUGAAAUUGAUUAGCAGAUGGUAAUGUUAUUAAAUCCCUGAUGUUGUAAGAAAUAACAGUGGUUUUGUAGACUAUUAUCUAGCUUUAAAUUAUAAUUUUUAUUAUGGUUGACCUCAAAUCAGGUAAGGAUACCCGCUGAACUUAAGCAUAUCAAUAAGCGGAGG